CGAGCACGCGCGUGUGGCAUAUCAAUAAGCGGAGGAAAAGAAACUAACAAGGAUUCCCUUAGUAACGGCGAGUGAAGCGGGAAGAGCUCAAAUUUGAAAUCUUCAAGGUUCUACCUUGACGAAUUGUAGUUUAUAGAAGUGUUUUCUGUUAGUAGAGUGGCAAAAGUUCUUUGGAAUAGGACAUCAUAGAGGGUGAGAAUCCCGUAUUUGGUCAUUCCUUCUAGCGUUGUGAUACACUUUCAAAGAGUCGGAUUGUUUGGGAAUGCAGUCCAAAAUGGGUGGUAAAUUUCAUCUAAAGCUAAAUAUUGGCGAGAGAUCCGAUAGCGAACAAGUACCGUGAGGGAAAGAUGAAAAGAACUUUGAAAAGAGAGUUAAACAGUACGUGAAAUUGUCAAAAGGGAAGCGUUUGACACCAGUGUUGUUUUUCCGAAAAUCAAUUACGAAUGUUUUAGUUUUUGAGGAGUUAUGACUUCAUCGGCUUGCUUCUCUCUUUACGAAACUUUCUUAAUGCACUUUUCGGUUAACAAGUCAACAUCAAUUUCUUUUGUUGUAAAAGGGUAUGAGGAAGGUGGCUUUCUUUUCGGAGAAAGUGUUUAUAGCCUUGUGCCUCUGCAAUCGGAGAGAUUGAGGUCUGCAGCGUAGAUCCUUCGGGGUUAGAUACGUUUGUGCUAAGUUAUAGCUUUUCAUAGACAACUUGUUGACUAUGUUUAGUCUUGUAGCUUACUCGCUGACGCUAUUUUACCUACGCUUAGGAUGUUGAUGUGAUACUGCGAGCA
RNAcentral lists this ribosomal RNA (776 nucleotides) under uncultured Neocallimastigales. RNAcentral describes it as "partial large subunit ribosomal RNA". It matches the Rfam family "Eukaryotic large subunit ribosomal RNA", at positions 19 to 646 of the family's 3401-position model. Lineage: Eukaryota; Fungi; Neocallimastigomycota; Neocallimastigomycetes; Neocallimastigales. The record is from RNAcentral.